RNAcentral lists this ribosomal RNA (330 nucleotides) under uncultured bacterium. RNAcentral describes it as "bacterial SSU rRNA". It matches the Rfam family "Bacterial small subunit ribosomal RNA", at positions 568 to 898 of the family's 1533-position model. The record is from RNAcentral.
CGCGUAGGCGGGUGUUUAAGUCAGAGGCUAAAUCCCAGGGCUCAACCCUGGAACUGCCUUUGAUACUGGGCACCUAGAGUUCGGGAGAGGUGUGUGGAACUCCGAGUGUAGAGGUGAAAUUCGUAGAUAUUCGGAAGAACACCAGUGGCGAAGGCGACACACUGGCCCGAUACUGACGCUGAGGCGCGAAAGCGUGGGGAGCAAACAGGAUUAGAUACCCUGGUAGUCCACGCCGUAAACGAUGAGUGCUAGUUGUCGGCAUGCAUGCAUGUCGGUGACGCAGCUAACGCAUUAAGCACUCCGCCUGGGGAGUACGGUCGCAAGAUUAAA